RNAcentral lists this non-coding RNA (284 nucleotides) under Thermobaculum terrenum. Its description in RNAcentral is "T-box sequence". It matches the Rfam family "T-box leader". Rfam says of the family: Uncharged tRNA acts as the effector for transcription antitermination of genes in the T-box leader family. T-boxes are found upstream of many aminoacyl-tRNA synthetase genes and some amino acid biosynthetic genes usually in Gram-positive bacteria. Lineage: Bacteria; Bacillati; Chloroflexota; Chloroflexia; Thermobaculales (SeqCode); Thermobaculaceae (SeqCode). The record is from RNAcentral.
CUAAAAGCGUCGAUGGGGACGAGUAGCCGAGAUGUAGGGCUACAGAGAGCCGCGUUGCUGGGAUGCGGUGCUCGAACCUCGGUGAAAAAGCCCCCGGAGCUGCAGGCUGAACCUCGAUGGGCCAGAAUGCCCAGGCGUCAGUAGGCCGAGCCGGUGUCAGCCACCGUUACCAGGCUGGGAGUAUGAAGCCCUGCUCUAGGGUGGAGUACUUCGUGAGGUCGUCAUCGUGAGGUGGCGACGAACAGGGGUGGUACCACGGGAAGCAACGAUCUCCCGUCCCCGGC